RNAcentral lists this long non-coding RNA (955 nucleotides) under Equus caballus (horse). RNAcentral's name for it is "lncRNA (ENSECAG00000043529.2)". The record is from RNAcentral. Lineage: Eukaryota; Metazoa; Chordata; Mammalia; Perissodactyla; Equidae.
CAUGAAUUUCCAGCUUUCACAAGAGGCCACCUCCGAAUCAUGAAUAUCUUCCCGCCAGGCAGAUUUGGAAGGCGAUUGACUCUCCAGUUUGGGUCAUGGAUGUGGAUCCUGCCUUGGGAAUCCCCGGAUUCAACUCCCUCAUCCCAACUCAAAAGGGCUGAUUCUGUUUCUAACCUGUCAGUCAAUUUGGUUCAUCAGAAUCGUCUCUCUGGCCAGCUGACCUGGGAGCCAACGAAGCCAUUGAAAACUCAUGUCUUUCACGGUUUGAUGUCACGGCCUCCGCGUGGACAUCUCUCUGCUUGGGUACAGGAAGCGGACAGCGUCUGUUCCUGUGUCCUCCUCAAUGGAAAUAAAUUCAGCCUCAGGCGGGCCGAAGCCCAGGAACAAAUUGAGUCCUCAGAAGACCGCAUUAUCUGCUUUGCAAACAGCCCAGGUAUGGAGCUUGCAUUCCUUCCCACCACAGGAGCCACAUUUGAGCAAUUCUCCCUGCCACGUUUCCCACGAUGCUUGAAUGGUCCUUAUUUAAGUAUUGAAUCAGCAGCGGGCUGGAUGCUUGACAGCAGCGGGCUGUGAAGGGUGGUCACCUUGAUGCCCUGCACCUGCUGCAAUGGGUGAAGAUUGAAGGAGACACUUAGAAAGUGACUGGCCCCAUAGAAGGCACUUGUGGCAGCUGUGAAAAUGAGCCACUCACGGUUGGCGAUGACCCCAUUUGCUACCCUUUUGGAUCCACCAGUGAGUUUGCACAGAGCCACAAUUGCCAUGGGCUGCUCCCAGGCAGCGACUGAGGUGUGACGGGGUACUAAGACAGGCUCAUUCCUGAGGGAGGUGGGAUUCCUAUGACAGAGAGCACUGGCUUGAGGACUCCCCAUGGGCUUGGCUGGAACUUUCUUAGAACGGUGCUGCAGUGAGAGACUCUGCCUAUCCACUCCUCCUUUCCUCCCUCCCUCCUUCACAG